RNAcentral lists this ribosomal RNA (509 nucleotides) under uncultured bacterium. RNAcentral describes it as "bacterial SSU rRNA". It matches the Rfam family "Bacterial small subunit ribosomal RNA", at positions 15 to 518 of the family's 1533-position model. The record is from RNAcentral.
GAUCCUGGCUCAGGAUGAACGCUAGCGGCAGGCUUAACACAUGCAAGUCGAGGGGCAACGCGAGUAGCAAUACUUGGCGGCGGACCGGCGCAAGGGUGCGUAACGCGUGAGCAACAUGCCCGUAUCAGGGGGAUAAUCCAGGGAAACUUGGUCUAAUACCCCAUAGUAAUUUUGUAAGGCAUCUUAUAAGAUUUAAAGCUUUGGUGGAUACGGAUUGGCUCGCGUGACAUUAGCUGGAUGGUAAGGUAACGGCUUACCAUGGCUAUGAUGUCUAGGGGUUCUGAGAGGAAGGUCCCCCACACUGGAACUGAGACACGGUCCAGACUCCUACGGGAGGCAGCAGUGAGGAAUAUUGGACAAUGGAUGGAAAUCUGAUCCAGCCAUGCCGCGUGAAGGAAGAAGGUCCUAUGGAUUGUAAACUUCUUUUGUAUGGGAGCAAUAAGGCCUACGAGUAGGUUGAUGAGAGUACCAUACGAAUAAGCACCGGCUAACUCCGUGCCAGCCGCUGC